GACGAACGCUGGCGGCGUGCUUAACACAUGCAAGUCGAACGGAAAGGCCCUGCUUUUGUGGGGUGCUCUAGUUGCGAACGGGUGAGUAACACGUGAGUAACCUGCCCUUGACUUUGGGAUAACUUCAUGAAACUGGGGCUAAUACCGGCUAGGAGCUCCUGCUGCUUGGUGGGGGUGGGAUAGUUUCGGCGGUUGGGGAUGGACUCGCGGCUUAUCAGCUUGUUGGUUGGGUAGUGGAUUACCAAGGCUUUGACGGGUAGCCGGGCUGAGAGGGUGACCGGCCAAGUUGGGAUUGAGAUACGGCCCAGCCUACACUGGGAGGGAGCGGUGGGGAAUAUAGCACAAGGGGCGGAGGGCUAGUGUAGUCCCGCAGCGUGGGGGAUGAGGGCCUUCGGGUUGUAUACCGCUUUCGCCUGUGACGAAGCGUGAGUGACGGUAAUGGGUAAAGAAGCACCGGCUAACUCCGUG
This 468-nucleotide ribosomal RNA is filed under the name uncultured bacterium. RNAcentral describes it as "partial 16S ribosomal RNA". It matches the Rfam family "Bacterial small subunit ribosomal RNA", at positions 28 to 507 of the family's 1533-position model. The record is from RNAcentral.